GAUGAACGCUGGCGGCGUGCCUAAUACAUGCAAGUCGAGCGAACGGACGAGAAGCUUGCUUCUCUGAUGUUAGCGGCAGACGGGUGAGUAACACGUGGAUAACCUACCUAUAAGACUGGGAUAACUUCGGGAAACCGGAGCUAAUACCGGAUGAUAUUUUGAACCGCAUGGUUCAAAAGUGAAAGACGGUCUUGCUGUCACUUAUAGAUGGAUCCGCGCUGCAUUAGCUAGUUGGUAAGGUAACGGCUUACCAAGGCAACGAUGCAUAGCCGACCUGAGAGGGUGAUCGGCCACACUGGAACUGAGACACGGUCCAGACUCCUACGGGAGGCAGCAGUAGGGAAUCUUCCGCAAAGGGCGAAAGCCUGACGGAGCAACGCCGCGUGAGUGAUGAAGGUCUUCGGAUCGUAAAACUCUGUUAUUAGGGAAGAACAUAUGUGUAAGUAACUGUGCACAUCUUGACGGUACCUAAUCAGAAAGCCACGGCUAACUACGUG
RNAcentral lists this ribosomal RNA (497 nucleotides) under uncultured bacterium. Its description in RNAcentral is "partial 16S ribosomal RNA". It matches the Rfam family "Bacterial small subunit ribosomal RNA", at positions 28 to 507 of the family's 1533-position model. The record is from RNAcentral.